ACAGAGGUCUCAAGCGUUGUUCGGAUUCAUUGGGCGUAAAGGGCGCGUAGGCGGUAGGAUAAGUCGGAUGUGAAAUUCCGGGGCUCAACCCCGGAGCGGCAUUUGAAACUAUCUUACUAGAGUGCAGUUAGGGAAAACGGAAUUCCACGUGUAGCGGUGAAAUGCGUAGAUAUGUGGAAGAACACCAGUGGUGAAGACGGUUUUCUGGGCUGUAACUGACGCUGAGGCGCGAAAGCAAGGGGAGCAAACAGG
RNAcentral lists this ribosomal RNA (252 nucleotides) under uncultured prokaryote. RNAcentral describes it as "partial 16S ribosomal RNA". It matches the Rfam family "Bacterial small subunit ribosomal RNA", at positions 525 to 776 of the family's 1533-position model. The record is from RNAcentral.